RNAcentral lists this ribosomal RNA (440 nucleotides) under uncultured bacterium. Its description in RNAcentral is "partial 16S ribosomal RNA". It matches the Rfam family "Bacterial small subunit ribosomal RNA", at positions 338 to 795 of the family's 1533-position model. The record is from RNAcentral.
CCUACGGGAGGCAGCAGUAGGGAAUAUUGCUCAAUGGGCGAAACCCUGAAGCAGCAACGCCGCGUGGAGGAUGAAGGUUUUCGGAUUGUAAACUCCUUUUGUUAGAGAAGAUAAUGACGGUAUCUAACGAAUAAGCACCGGCUAAUACCGUGCCAGCAGCCGAGGUAAUACGGUGGGUGCAAGCGUUACUCGGAAUCACUGGGCGGAAAGAGCGCGUAGGCGGGAUAGCAAGUCAGAUGUGAAAUCCUUUGGAUUAACCAUAGAACUGCAUUUGAAACUGUGAUUCUAGAGUAUGGGAGAGGUAGGUGGAAUUCUUGGUGUAGGGGUAAAAUCCGUAGAGAUCAAGAGGAAUACUCAUUGCGAAGGCGACCUGCUAGAACAUAACUGACGCUGAUGCGCGAAAGCGUGGGGAGCAAACAGGAUUAGAUACCCGGGUAGUC